CAAUCAAGGUGUAGAAACAACGAUCAUGAGAAAUGGGAGGCACCUGAACUCAUGUUCAACAGUCUGAUCACUUCACACACUUUCCUUUCAUUUAUCUUCUACAUUCUGCAACUUUGUUGCUCAAUUACAAUUCUGCAUUUCGUUCAAUUUUAUACUUUUAUUCACUGCAUGAUUCAUUCAUAUAUGUAUAUCCAGUCUUCCAUAUGUGUGAAAUGUGACAUCUUUUUUGGGGUUAAAACGUUUUAUCUCCGUGUUUUAAAUCUAAUUGAAGGAACAAGAAACCUUCUCGACCCCAUGCACAGAUGCAGGAAGACACGGAGCUGCAGCCGUGGAAGAAGUCCAACACACAAACUGAGUGUGAGGUUUACGAGAGUCCGUCUCUGGCGGAGGAGACUAUCCAUUAUGCCUCUCUGGGCCGCCAGAACUGGAGGGAGAGACCCAGCAGGACUCCACCGGACCAGAGCGACCACAACGUCAUCUACUCUUCUGUCAUCACCGGACCGGCUGCCAAACAGAAACGACCUCUGCUGCAUCCUGCCCUCUAACAUAUCUAGGGCAACGAAAUGUUAUAUAUGA
RNAcentral lists this long non-coding RNA (576 nucleotides) under Cottoperca gobio. Its description in RNAcentral is "lncRNA (ENSCGOG00000004510.1)". The record is from RNAcentral. Lineage: Eukaryota; Metazoa; Chordata; Actinopteri; Perciformes; Bovichtidae.